GAUGAACGCUGGCGGCGUGCCUAAUACAUGCAAGUCGAGCGAACGGACGAGAAGCUUGCUUCUCUGAUGUUAGCGGCGGACGGGUGAGUAACACGUGGAUAACCUACCUAUAAGACUGGGAUAACUUCGGGAAACCGGAGCUAAUACCGGAUAAUAUUUUGAACCGCAUGGUUCAAAAGUGAAAGACGGUCUUGCUGUCACUUAUAGAUGGAUCCGCGCUGCAUUAGCUAGUUGGUAAGGUAACGGCUUACCAAGGCAACGAUGCAUAGCCGACCUGAGAGGGUGAUCGGCCACACUGGAACUGAGACACGGUCCAGACUCCUACGGGAGGCAGCAGUAGGGAAUCUUCCGCAAUGGGCGAAAGCCUGACGGAGCAACGCCGCGUGAGUGAUGAAGGUCUUCGGAUCGUAAAACUCUGUUAUUAGGGAAGAACAUAUGUGUAAGUAACUGUGCACAUCUUGACGGUACCUAAUCAGAAAGCCACGGCUAACUACGUGCCAGCAGCCGCGGUAAUACGUAGGUGGCAAGCGUUAUCCGGAAUUAUUGGGCGUAAAGCGCGCGUAGGCGGUUUUUUAAGUCUGAUGUGAAAGCCCACGGCUCAACCGUGGAGGGUCAUUGGAAACUGGAAAACUUGAGUGCAGAAGAGGAAAGUGGAAUUCCAUGUGUAGCGGUGAAAUGCGCAGAGAUAUGGAGGAACACCAGUGGCGAAGGCGACUUUCUGGUCUGUAACUGACGCUGAUGUGCGAAAGCGUGGGGAUCAAACAGGAUUAGAUACCCUGGUAGUCCACGCCGUAAACGAUGAGUGCUAAGUGUUAGGGGGUUUCCGCCCCUUAGUGCUGCAGCUAACGCAUUAAGCACUCCGCCUGGGGAGUACGACCGCAAGGCUGAAACUCAAAGGAAUUGACGGGGACCCGCACAAGCGGUGGAGCAUGUGGUUUAAUUCGAAGCAACGCGAAGAACCUUACCAAAUCUUGACAUCCUUUGACAACUCUAGAGAUAGAGCUUUCCCCUUCGGGGGACAAAGUGACAGGUGGUGCAUGGUUGUCGUCAGCUCGUGUCGUGAGAUGUUGGGUUAAGUCCCGCAACGAGCGCAACCCUUAAGCUUAGCUGCCAUCAUUAAGUUGGGCACUCUAAGUUGACUGCCGGUGACAAACCGGAGGAAGGUGGGGAUGACGUCAAAUCAUCAUGCCCCUUAUGAUUUGGGCUACACACGUGCUACAAUGGACAAUACAAAGGGCAGCGAAACCGUGAGGUCAAGCAAAUCCCAUAAAGUUGUUCUCAGUUCGGAUUGUAGUCUGCAACUCGACUACAUGAAGCUGGAAUCGCUAGUAAUCGUAGAUCAGCAUGCUACGGUGAAUACGUUCCCGGGUCU
Molecule: ribosomal RNA, 1372 nt
Filed under: uncultured bacterium
Lineage: Bacteria
Description: bacterial SSU rRNA
Rfam family: Bacterial small subunit ribosomal RNA
Source: RNAcentral